Molecule: ribosomal RNA, 915 nt
Filed under: uncultured archaeon
Lineage: Archaea
Description: bacterial SSU rRNA
Rfam family: Archaeal small subunit ribosomal RNA
Source: RNAcentral
UCCSGGUUGAUCCUGCCAGAGGUUACUGCUAUCGAGGUUCGACUAAGCCAUGCGAGUCGAAUGUAGCAAUACAUGGCGAACUGCUCAGUAACACGUGGACAACCUGCCCUUAGGUUGGGUAUAAACCCGGGAAACUGGGUAUAAUACCCGAUAGGUCUCGAUUGCUGGAAUGCAUCGAGAUUUAAAGCUCCGGCGCCUAAGGAUGGGUCUGCGGCCUAUCAGGUAGUAGUGGGUGUAGCGUACCUACUAGCCUACGACGGGUACGGGUUGUGAGAGCAAGAGCCCGGAGAUGGAUUCUGAGACACGAAUCCAGGCCCUACGGGGUGCAGCAGGCGCGAAAACUUUACAAUGCUGGCAACAGCGAUAAGGGAACCUCGAGUGCCAGGUUACAAAUCUGGCUGUCGAGAUGCCUAAAAAGCAUUUCAUAGCAAGGGCCGGGCAAGACCGGUGCCAGCCGCCGCGGUAACACCGGCGGCUCGAGUGGUAACCGUUAUUAUUGGGUCUAAAGGGUCUGUAGCCGGCCGGAUAAGUCUCUUGAGAAAUCUGGCAGCUUAACUGUCAGGCUUUCAGGAGAUACUGUCUGGCUCGAGGCCGGGAGAGGUGAGAGGUACUUCAGGGGUAGGGGUGAAAUCUUGUGAUCCUCGGGGGACCACCAGUGGCGAAGGCGUCUCACCAGAACGGGUCCGACGGUAAGGGACGAAAGCUAGGGGCACGAACCGGAUUAGAUACCCGGGUAGUCCUAGCCGUAAACGAUGCUCGCUAGGUGUCAGUCACGGUGCGACCGUGAUUGGUGCCGUAGGGAAGCCGUGAAGCGAGCCACCUGGGAAGUAUGGCCGCAAGGCUGAAACUUAAAGGAAUUGGCGGGGGAGCACUACAACGGGUGGAGCCUGCGGUUUAAUUGGAUUCAACGCCGGG